Molecule: ribosomal RNA, 571 nt
Filed under: Trifolium angustifolium
Lineage: Eukaryota; Viridiplantae; Streptophyta; Magnoliopsida; Fabales; Fabaceae
Description: eukaryotic LSU rRNA
Rfam family: 5.8S ribosomal RNA (bases 115-270)
Source: RNAcentral
AACACAAACCCCGGCGCUGAAUGCGUCAAGGAAUUUAAAAUUUGCUCUGAGCGCACCUGCAUGGCACCGGAGACGGUUUUCGUGCGGGUUGUGUUCUGACACAUAAUAUAGAAUGACUCUCGGCAACGGAUAUCUAGGCUCUUGCAUCGAUGAAGAACGUAGCGAAAUGCGAUACUUGGUGUGAAUUGCAGAAUCCCGUGAACCAUCGAGUCUUUGAACGCAAGUUGCGCCCGAUGCCAUUAGGUUGAGGGCACGCCUGCCUGGGCGUCACAUAUCGAAGCCUCUUGCCAAUUUUCCUAAUGAUAGGUAUUGUGCAGGGUGAAUGUUGGCCUCCCGUGAGCUCCAUCGUCUCAUGGUUGGUUGAAAAUCGAGACCUUGGUAGUUUGUGCCAUGAUAGAUGGUGGUUGUGUUACGCAUGAGCCCAAAAUAAUCAUGUGCUGCUCUAUCGAAUUUAGCCUCUUUUACCCACAUGUGUUUCUAAACGCUCGUGAUGAGACCUCAGGUCAGGCGGGGCUACCCGCUGAAUUUAAGCAUAUCAAUAAGCGGAGGAAAAGAAACUAACAAGGAUUCC